CAUCAUUGCAAAAGCAAUAAGUUGCAAUAGUUGUAAACAUAAACUUAACAUUCAUUUGUAGAUUGUUUAUUGCUGCUCUUCAUUUCAAUGAGAAUGGAAACAAAGCUCAGAAAACGAAGAAUGGUGGGCAAACAGAAGAGGCAUUGAUUUGGAGAAUGGCUUAUUCAAAGUCAAAAGAAGGACUAGGGGUCAUCAAACCAGUGAAAGUUGACAGCACUUAUGGAUAUGUUAAGGACUUGAUGAUAGAAGUUUUGUACUGCAGACGCAUUAAUCCAACACUGUCCAAAGCUCUUGAUGUCGCUGGAGUGAAAGAAAUACCUGUCCCAUUGACUAGCCACAAAUCAAAAAUCAGCAAAGCUGAAGCCAUUAAGCAACAUAAAUCUCGUUUUAAUAAAUAAAAUGAAACUAACCAUUCAACAUUUCCAAUUCUGUGAAUGUAUUCAUCUUCGCUUUCCGAUGACGAAGAAUUGUCAUCAUUAUGACCACCUUGCGCGUUGGCCAAAGGCUCAAACAUGUAAGGUUGUACCUCAUUGUUAUUGAUGACAAUUUUAUAAUCGGCUUCUUCUUCAGAAGAAUCCAUUAAUUUUUGUUAAAUAAAAACAAUAACUAGCAAACUACCUUAAUAGCAAACUACCAAAGUCGUGCAAGUCGUAGAACGAUAUAAGAACGAUGCUUGAACGAUAUAAGAACGAUAUAAGAACGAGUCGUAGAACGAUAUAAGAACGAUAUAAGAACGAUAAUACCGACGGAAUUGAAAUAGCUAUAAUUAAGAGCCGGUCGAUAUUAAUAACUUGCCGGCUGAAAUGUACGUACGCUGAAGUUAAAAAUGAACAGAGUUGAGAAA
Molecule: long non-coding RNA, 844 nt
Organism: Xenia sp. Carnegie-2017
Lineage: Eukaryota; Metazoa; Cnidaria; Anthozoa; Malacalcyonacea; Xeniidae
Exons: 2
Source: RefSeq, a predicted model, not a curated record